Molecule: non-coding RNA, 468 nt
Organism: Cinara cedri
Lineage: Eukaryota; Metazoa; Arthropoda; Insecta; Hemiptera; Aphididae
Source: the annotation of a GenBank genome assembly
GCGCUAACGGCUGCCGAUAAAGACGUUGUUGCAGUACACCGACAAGGUGUACGGGGUGUUCCGGAUUUCACGUCACCGCGGUCGUAGUUCUCGCGUGAAAUCUCGAAAAAAAAAAAAAUUUAAAUACUCGUAUUAAGAAACUUUCCGAAAUUCACAGUCUACGUUGAAAAAUGUGUAAACGGACAGAGUAUUUUGUUUGCACGCGUUUUGGCGUUGCAACUGCGCGUUAAUUGUGUUUUUGAAACUGAGGGAUCGAGUAACGGAGUCCCCGUUAUUCAACCCCGCGAGCUGUGCCGCCCACAAAUAAUGUUCCGCCACUCUCUCCGACCUACCUAAACUUAAAAGUUAAAUAUCUCGUCAACGGGUUCGCAGGAAAUCGAAAUCAAAAUGUAUUUAUGUACUACAGUAUUCAGUCUAUUUAUGAACAUUUUUAAUAUGAAAAUCAAAAGCAGGCAAUCGAUUCGCCCU